RNAcentral lists this transfer RNA (81 nucleotides) under Cervus elaphus hippelaphus. RNAcentral describes it as "tRNA-Asn". Lineage: Eukaryota; Metazoa; Chordata; Mammalia; Artiodactyla; Cervidae. The record is from RNAcentral.
GUCUUUGUGGCGUGAUUGGUGGCAUUAUCACCUUUGCCUGUUAACUGGAAGAUUGGUGGUUCAAGUCCACCCAAGGAUGCC